CGAAAACGCUGGCGGCGUGCUUACACAUGACAGAUUCGAACGAUGAAGCUUACUUGCUAGGUGGACUUAGUGGCGAACGGGUGAGUAACACGUAGGUAAUCUGCCCUGCACUUUGGGAUAAGCCUGGGAAACUGGGUCUAAUACCGAAUAGGACACGUCAUCUUUAUGGUGGUGUGUGGAAAGCUUUUGCGGUGUGGGAUGAGCCUGCGGCCUAUCAGCUUGUUGGUGGGGUAAUGGCCUACCAAGGCGUCGACGGGUAGCCGGCCUGAGAGGGUGUACGGCCACAUUGGGACUGAGACACGGCCCAGACUCCUACGGGAGGCAGCAGUGGGGAAUAUUGCACAAUGGGCGAAAGCCUGAUGCAGCGACGCCGCGUGGGGGAUGAAGGCCUUCGGGUUGUAAACUCCUUUCGCUAGGGACGAAGAGUUAUAUUGACGGUACCUGGAGAAGAAGCACCGGCUAACUACGUGCAAGCCCGCCGCGGUAUCGA
This 490-nucleotide ribosomal RNA is filed under the name Corynebacterium sp. GOD NKPN21E. RNAcentral describes it as "bacterial SSU rRNA". It matches the Rfam family "Bacterial small subunit ribosomal RNA", at positions 32 to 528 of the family's 1533-position model. Lineage: Bacteria; Bacillati; Actinomycetota; Actinomycetes; Mycobacteriales; Corynebacteriaceae. The record is from RNAcentral.